GCGAACGCUGGCGGCAGGCUUAACACAUGCAAGUCGAACGGGCGUCCUUCGGGGCGUCAGUGGCAGACGGGUGAGUAACACGUGGGAACGUACCCUUCGGUUCGGAAUAACUCAGGGAAACUUGAGCUAAUACCGGAUACGCCCUUACGGGGAAAGGUUUACUGCCGAAGGAUCGGCCCGCGUCUGAUUAGCUAGUUGGUGGGGUAAUGGCCUACCAAGGCGACGAUCAGUAGCUGGUCUGAGAGGAUGAUCAGCCACACUGGGACUGAGACACGGCCCAGACUCCUACGGGAGGCAGCAGUGGGGAAUAUUGGACAAUGGGCGAAAGCCUGAUCCAGCCAUGCCGCGUGAGUGAUGAAGGCCUUAGGGUUGUAAGCUCUUUCGACGGGGACGAUAAUGACGGUACCCGUAGAAGAAGCCCCGGCUAACUUCGU
This 434-nucleotide ribosomal RNA is filed under the name uncultured bacterium. RNAcentral's name for it is "bacterial SSU rRNA". It matches the Rfam family "Bacterial small subunit ribosomal RNA", at positions 29 to 506 of the family's 1533-position model. The record is from RNAcentral.